RNAcentral lists this ribosomal RNA (369 nucleotides) under Triticum aestivum (bread wheat). RNAcentral describes it as "partial small subunit ribosomal RNA". Lineage: Eukaryota; Viridiplantae; Streptophyta; Magnoliopsida; Poales; Poaceae. The record is from RNAcentral.
AUGUUUGUAUGGCGCCUUGCUAGGCAUUCCAUGCCCUGUGGGGAGGUUCUAAAGCAUCGUAAUAUGGCAACGAUUGGCACUUGUAUGCUGUGUGGGGCGAGGGACACUUGGAAACAUGCUUUAUUGAAAUGCAUAAUGGCUGGCGGUGUGUGGGCACUGGCCCCUGAUGAUCUCGUGCAGGCUAUGAGUGAGCGAAAAGAGGACAGGGCCAAGGACUGGCUCUUUGCCAUACAUAAAGUGAUGCCUACAGAUUUAUUUGGAAGGCUCAUAGCGACACUUUGGGCAAUCUGGGGAGUGCGGAGAAAGGCUAUACAUGAGGAUAUUUUUCAGUCUCCGAUUUCCACUAAUGGUUUCAUCAAUAGCUAUUUG